UAUGUCCACACAGAAAUGUGUACAUGGGUGUUCAGAGCAGCUUUGUUUGUAAGAGCUCCAAAUUGGAAACGACCCAAGUGUCCAUCAGUGGAUGAUCACAGUCGUGUUAAACUGCAAAAUGCUGAAAAUGAUUAUAUUAAUGCCAGCUUAGUUGACAUAGAAGAGGCGCAGAGGAGUUACAUCUUAACACAGGGUCCACUUCCUAAUACAGGUUGUCAUUUCUGGCUCAUGGUUUGGCAGCAAAAGACCAAAGCAGUUGUCAUGCUAAACCGAAUUGUGGAGAAAGAAUCGGUUAAAUGUGCACAGUACUGGCCGACAAAGGAUGACCGAGAGAUGCUGUUUAAGGAAACAGGCUUCAGUGUGAAGUUCCUGUCGGAAGACGUGAAGUCCUAUUACACAGUCCAUCUGCUGCAGUUAGGAAACACCAGUAGUGGUGAAACCAGAACAAUAUCUCACUUUCAUUAUACUACCUGGCCAGAUUUCGGAGUCCCUGAAUCACCAGCUUCAUUUCUCAAUUUCUUAUUUAAAGUGCGAGAGUCUGGCUCUUUGAAUCCUGAACACGGGCCUGCGGUGAUCCACUGUAGUGCCGGCAUCGGGCGGUCAGGCACCUUUUCUCUGGUGGACACUUGUCUUGUUCUGAUGGAAAAAGGAGACAAUAUUAAUAUUAAACAACUGUUACUGAAUAUGAGAAAAUACCGAAUGGGGCUGAUUCAGACACCAGAUCAACUCAGAUUUUCAUACAUGACUAUAAUAGAAGGAGCAAAGUUUAUAAAGGGAGAUUCAAGUAUACAGAAACGGUGGAAAGAACUUUCUAAGGAAGAUGUAUGUACUGUUUUCGAUCAUUCACCAACCAAAAUAAUGACAGAAAAAUACAAUGGGAACAGGAUAGGCCUAGAAGAAGAAAAACUGACAAGUGACAGGUAUACAGGACUGUCCUCUAAAAUUCAAGAUACUCUGGAGGAAAACAGCGAGAGUGCUCUGCGCAAGCGCCUUCGGGAGGACAGGAAAGCCAGCACAGCUCAGAAGGUGCAGCAGAUGAAGCAGAGGCUGAACGAGACCGAACGAAAAAGGAAAAGGUGGUUAUAUUGGCAACCUAUUCUCACUAAGAUGGGGUUUGUGUCCGUCAUUUUGGUUGGCGCUUUUGUUGGCUGGACACUGUUUUUUCAGCAAAAUGCCCUAUAAAUAAUUAAUUUUGCCCCGCAAGCUUCGGCACUGGUAGCUGACAGUGUUGCGUGAAUCACAGGGGUUCAUCUGUUAGCAAACUCCUCAGACACCAGACGGUGCAGUUGACUAGACACCCACAGAGAAUUGGGGUGUGCAGUCCCCUCAGCACCCCAAGGCGCUGCCCACACUGUACCCGCUCCCUAAAAUAAAGACUUGAAUGCUUCUUAAGAACUGGUACAUUUUCAACUGUAUUCAUACAUGUUAAGUGUAAUAUUUCACCUGACCAGACUGAGAAGUCCUUUAUCACGAGGAUUCGUUUUUGGAGGCUGUCUGGAUUUUAACCUGCACUUGAUAUAAGCAAUAAAUAUUGUGGUUUUAUGGACAUUAUUACUGGAAAGAAAAUGACCUUUAAGUAAUGCGUGUAAUGUAUAAUGUACUGUUCACAUGGGCAUCAACAUUUUAUAUUCUUAACCAUUGCAGGGUAAAUAUAUUUUAUAAGUACCUAUUUAAUCUUACUUUUGUAGUUAAAUGUACUUUUUAAAAGCUCAAUUUGAAAAAAUAUCUGUUACCACAAAAAAAAUAAUAAAGUGUAUGUUGAUUCAAUUGUACUGGAUACAUUUUCCUGAAGAAAAGUUUGAUAUGAGCAGGUAGAACUCUGAAUAAGCAAUUUUUACUAUAUAUUUGCAUUUCUUUUAUGUUUUACAGUUUUCCCAAUUUUAAAAAGAAAAAGAAACAAAAAUUAUCUCUAAAAAUAUCUUUGAAGGAAAAUUCUCCUUACUGGCGUAGUCAGUUCAUUGGUUUGGAUUUGAUUCCAUCUUUCCUUGUAUCUGUCUUCAAAGCACUGUUUCUGGGACAGCAGCACCCACAGCCCCUACAACAGCAGAUAAGUUAGAAAUGCCAGGUGUCCUCUUGUUCUGCUGAAUGUGGAUGAGUGAUGUCAUGUUGCAGAGUACUGCCCCGGCUAAGCAGUGACUCAGCCCGAGGGGCUUUUAGUUGGGUCGAGGGAUUGUCUUUAUCAGUAACAACCUGACAACGAGAAUUCUCAAACGCUAUGACCAUCUCUGUGCAGUCCAGUGAGAGAAUGAAAAAUCCAAUCAUUGGUACUCAUUUCUGUUUGGGUUUUAUAAUUUAGAGUGGAAUAUGGGAAUUUUAGGAUCUAGGGAGGAUAUUACUUGCAGAGUCUACUUUACUACUAUUGUCUGGUUUUCCAUCACAUGGUAUGUUGGGGGAGCUAUAAGGAGAAUGGAAUGGGAAUUUUUUUCUUUAUGAAGACCAUUUUUUAAAGAAAAGCAUCAAGUCUUUAUUGUUGCUCUAAUUUGGCAUAGAUUUUUUUAGACAUAUGAUGAUGUUGAUAUUUCAAAUUACUACAAUAAAAAACCUGAAGUUAUUUUGAGUUUGGUUAAUUCGGGAGUUUCCCACUGGGUAAGGUGAUGUUGUCUGUAAGGCAGUGAGUGCCUUGCUCACUGCAGAAAAGUGUGUGGGACUCUUUUCAGUAAAGCAAGGAUGAGUAUCUGGUGGCAAGAACUACUUUGGUGUGGAGCCAGCCCCUGUCAAGACCUUUUAGUUCUAAGGGGUGGUUCAUCCUUGCUGAGUGUGUCUUUAACACACCGCUGGGGAGGCAGCACCUGCCGGUUCUGCCAGUCAGUAGAUACACCUCUCCAAGGUGCAUCCCGUUACCCGAUUUUCAGAGGAGAAAACUGAGUCAAAGAAUAAGUAACUUGCCCAAGGUUUUACAUCUAGAUCACGACAGAGCUGAGAUUUGAACUCCAGGCUGUAGAAUCCCAGUAACUCCAGGCCUCACACUUUCCCAUUAUGUCACACGCAACCUGUUUUUAUGGAAUAUUUAAAUGGAAAAGCAUUAGACAGCUACUGUUACCCAUUAAAAUCCAAAGUAACCCUCUUUUUAUUUUUUAAGUGAAACAAAUCAGUUUUCCCCUCCAAAAAAAUUUGUGGAACAGUUUGAACUACCACGGAGCCAGAGUAAUACUGGAACAUCAGAGCACUCUCUAAACCAAACCAUUAUUUCAUUCACUCUGACUGGAUCAGUUCCUUGGUUUUAACAAGGGGACUUCUGAAGGUGUGGGAAACACAUGCAUAUUUUGCAGCACUCAGGGUCAGUCAGAAGCUCCUUUCCUCACAUCAGCCACUUUGGUUCAGGGUUCUCAGGUCCCUGCAAGAAGCACCUGUGGUAGUUUCUGUGACCACAGGCACCUAACAAGAAUGCUUCCUUGGUGUCUGGACAUUUCUCUGUCAGUGCUGGAAAUGAAACACCAAGGAGCCAGCAGUCAGGAAGAAGCCAACUCGUAGUAUUGGGGGUUUUGACUAAAUGUUUUGGAUAAAUGUGUGGGUGUGGUUUAUAUCUCCUAUUUAUACACGUGGAGGCACAAUAAUGACAAGUAUUUAGAUCUGGGGUUUUUUUUUGUCAGAGCAAGGGACGUUGAGGGGAAAUACCAGUUACCACCUCAGAAGUUCAGCUAUUUGCAAAAUUGUGAAAUAACAUUAAAAACUCACCUGCCCUUAAAUUAGUUGUUAUUUCAUCUCUCUAUCACUUGUUUAAACUCUCAUUUAUCUUUACUUUUUGGCAUUAAAGUACAAUAAAUCUAUCAAUUAUUUUAUGUCUGUGUUUUCUUUUAAUACUUAAAUCAUGUCACUUCAGUUUGUAUUUCUGUGAUCAUUAGUAUUACCCUUCAGGACAAAAAGCAUGCUGCUAACAGUCUGUGAGUUAAAGAUAUAAGCCAACUUUAUGUUCAUACAUUACAUUCAUAAUAUUUUUAGCAGUAUGAUACAGUGGAGGUCCAAAUUGGAUUAGACUUUUGCAUUGAAUUCCAAAGUAUUGGUAAGUCUAGCACAUACCAUAUAAUCUUGCUAAACUGUUGUGGGUACAUUUUUUUUUUUUAACUGUCUGUCUGUCAGUAUAGCUCACAUGGAGGUCAUUUCUUGAGUAAUACAGGAUGACCUAAAAAAAUUCAUAGUUAUUCUUGUAAAAGAGUGAGAGUUAUGGUGCUUUAACAUGAGUCUACCUCACACCACCAAUUCUGUUUGAAAAUCAAGCACAUAAGCAGUUUACCAAGGUAACAGCGAAGCACUCAGUGUGAUUGAGUGUGAUGUGUUGGAAUGUUUUUUGGUUGCCUUUUUAGUUCAUUGUUAGUCCUUUUAUGUUUGUGUGUAUCUGUGUUCGUCUGUGUGUUUGGUAAAUAUGAAUUGAAUAGAUGACUUCUUAUUUUAUGUUUUAGGCCAAGAUUGACAGACACCUAAAUAUUCAUGACUUGAGAAUGUUCUGCAGCUAUAAAUUUUGAACCAUUGAUGUGCAAAGCAAGACCUGAAGCCCACUCCGGAAACUUAGUGAGGCCUGAUAAGCCUGUAGAUUGCCUCACAUUUGUCUGUUUACAAAGUAAACCUUACAUCCAGGGAAUGAAGAACACCACCAGCAGAAGACUUUGCAGAACACUUUCAUUUGAUGCAUUGUUAAGUUUUUUAAUGCGUGUGUGAAAUGUAGAGAGAUGUAAAAGAAAUGAAUUAGGAAAGACUACUUUGUAUUGUACUGCCAUUCCUACUGUAUUUUUAUACUUUUUGGCAGCAUUAAAUAUUUUUAUUAAAUAGA
RNA transcript from Physeter macrocephalus (sperm whale), 4765 nucleotides. It is a transcript of the gene named protein tyrosine phosphatase non-receptor type 2, with no coding region annotated. The transcript has 9 exons. Lineage: Eukaryota; Metazoa; Chordata; Mammalia; Artiodactyla; Physeteridae. The record is from RefSeq and is a predicted model, not a curated record.